This 537-nucleotide long non-coding RNA is filed under the name Marmota monax (woodchuck). The record is from RNAcentral. Lineage: Eukaryota; Metazoa; Chordata; Mammalia; Rodentia; Sciuridae.
CACAGAUCCCUCCACCCCACCCCCACCACACACACAGGAACUUUGUAGUGGGUUCAGGUCGAGGGCCAGAGAGAGGUGAAUUUCUCUGUCCUGGCUGACGGACUGAGAGGAGGGACGAGAGACUGAUGGACAAGCCUCACAAGUCUCUGACUGGAGUGACCGCGCGUUAAGUCACAUCUCCCCUCCCGCCCCCAGGCUGGUAGCGGCAAGCAGGUAGGGAAGUGGAUGGGACCUUUGACAGGUCUCCAGACCUUCGUGGCGCCGACCCAGCGCGGGGCCCCAAGGCUGCUAUGAUCAUAUUUUCUGGAGCAUAACUCAGGACCAGCCGUCUGACGAGUCUGGGCAUGUGAGCCCUUCGAAGAGUUCAAGGGGAGACUGACAAGGGCUGCAGUGCAGGACCAAGGAGAUGGGGGCCACCCCACUGUGCGCGGACGCCCACCCUGAGAGGGAGGCGGUGAGAAGACGAACAGACUGCGCGCUUCUCUUUCCUCGAGGAUGCCCUCUGUGUUCAGCUCGCUGAAGGACCGCUGCCUCUUC